This 253-nucleotide ribosomal RNA is filed under the name uncultured bacterium. RNAcentral describes it as "partial 16S ribosomal RNA". It matches the Rfam family "Bacterial small subunit ribosomal RNA", at positions 524 to 776 of the family's 1533-position model. The record is from RNAcentral.
UACGUAGGGAGCAAGCGUUGACCGGAUUUAUUGGGUUUAAAGGGUGCGUAGGCGGGCUAUUAAGUGAGUGGUGAAAUCCAGCAGCUUAACUGUUGAUGUGCCAUUGAUACUGGUAGCCUUGAGUACAGAUGAGGUAGGCGGAAUUGACAGUGUAGCGGUGAAAUGCAUAGAUAUUGUCAAGAACUCCGAUAGCGAAGGCAGCUUACUGGGCUGUAACUGACGCUGAUGCACGAAAGUGUGGGGAUCAAACAGG